ACUAACAAGGAUUCCCCUAGUAGCGGCGAGCGAAGCGGGAAGAGCUCAAAUUUAUAAUCUGGCACCUUCGGUGUCCGAGUUGUAAUCUCUAGAAGUGUUUUCCGCGUUGGACCGCACACAAGUCUGUUGGAAUACAGCGGCAUAGUGGUGAAACCCCCGUAUAUGGUGCGGACGCCCAGCGCUUUGUGAUACACUUUCAAUGAGUCGAGUUGUUUGGGAAUGCAGCUCAAAUUGGGUGGUAAAUUCCAUCUAAAGCUAAAUAUUGGCGAGAGACCGAUAGCGAACAAGUACCGUGAGGGAAAGAUGAAAAGCACUUUGGAAAGAGAGUUAACAGUACGUGAAAUUGUUGGAAGGGAAACGCUUGAAGUCAGACUUGCUUGCCGGACUUGUUCGGUUUGCAGGCCAGCAUCAGUUUUCUGGGGUGGAUAAUGGCGGUUUGAAGGUAGCAGCUUCGGCUGUGUUAUAGCUUUCCGCUGGAUACAUCCUGGGGGACUGAGGAACGCAGCGUGCUUUUUGCGAAGGUUUCGACCUUUUCACGCUUAGGAUGCUGGUGGCAUGACUUUAAACGACCCGUCUUGAAACACGGACC
Molecule: ribosomal RNA, 589 nt
Filed under: Rhodotorula sp. CRUB 1563
Lineage: Eukaryota; Fungi; Basidiomycota; Microbotryomycetes; Sporidiobolales; Sporidiobolaceae
Description: eukaryotic LSU rRNA
Rfam family: Eukaryotic large subunit ribosomal RNA
Source: RNAcentral